UAGUCUCCUGCCUCGCUCAAUCUGCCGUUUCAUCCGACAGAUUUCGAGCUGGAUGCACCCAUGCCUUUCAUUAGAGCAUGCGUGUACGAGACAAGAGAAACUCCCAAGUGACGAUCUUUGAGUACGGGGCCGACGUGAUGCCAUGUGUCGGUCUAUCGUAAUUUAUCAGUCCCUACAUAC
Molecule: small nucleolar RNA, 180 nt
Filed under: Phaeosphaeriaceae sp. SRC1lsM3a
Lineage: Eukaryota; Fungi; Ascomycota; Dothideomycetes; Pleosporales; Phaeosphaeriaceae
Source: RNAcentral